GUGGUGAAAUAUCGUCACAGACUUGUUGCAGUGAUGGAAUCUAUAUGUCAUCGUGUUAUCGUACAUAAAUUAUCGAGUGGUGCCAAAGGGAGGUCGUCGAGUCGUAACAUAAACAAGAAAUUGUAAUUUUAAUUAUUUUUAGAACAGAUUCAGAAUCAUUUUGGAAACGGCCCGUGUGUGCAUGAACAAAAUGCAUAGGAAAUUGGACGAACGUCUGUUCCGAUGCGUUAUCUGUGCUCUUUGUUAAAUAUUUAUUGACAUAUUGACAAUUAAACUUACAGCUGUUUUCCUAACGUAAUAUGUAGGUUGAAGGUUUGGUUGGCUUACUUGCUUUG
This 335-nucleotide long non-coding RNA is filed under the name Mytilus galloprovincialis (Mediterranean mussel). Lineage: Eukaryota; Metazoa; Mollusca; Bivalvia; Mytilida; Mytilidae. The record is from RNAcentral.